AACUGUGGGUGUCCCUUUAAAUUGUCAUGAAAGCAUCAGUUGUCCAAUCAGAUACAUGCAAGACUAUAUAAAAGGGGACUUUUAAUGCACCAUGUUGUGUGAUUACCGCUUGUGUGUCAUUGCCCGAGGCCCGCCCCUUCCUGGUUUAGACUCUUCCUGUCUCACAGGUAUGUGCUUGCUAGCAAGUGUGUAUCAACGUGUGUGUUUGUGGUAACUAGCGUUAUUUGAAUUAUAGUUUCCAACGUGUAAUCAUUCCAUGUGGCUCGGCGACUGCUUUUAAACAUGAACCCGCCGUAAUCCUGUGCCUUCUUGCCGGUUUGAUGUCCAUUUGCCUGUGCGGCUGGACUUGUGGUCGAAACGACAAUAUUAAGGAACCGAGGCUUCAGGCAGACGGCUAGUUGGCCUUGGCGUGCGGUGGUGGGACUCUAUCACAGGGUGCAGUGUGUUCACGCUUGGUCUUACCGUGUUUGUGUGUGUGUGUGUGUGUGUGUGUGUGUGUGUGUGUGUGUGUGUGUGUGUGUGUGUUGCUCUUGUGCAUUUGGUGUUAUGCUCCUGGCGAUAUAGUAGCCGCAUACUCAUUAGGCUAGUUUACCUGCUUUAGGUAAGCCUCGGUUUCCUUUUAUGCCUAUUUUAUUCCAGCCUAUGUUUUAAAAGUAAUAUUUAUUGUGAAAUAAAACAUUUUUUGUAUCUUUGGUA
Long non-coding RNA from Silurus meridionalis, 696 nucleotides. RefSeq lists it as uncharacterized. NCBI's taxonomy places the organism in Eukaryota, Metazoa, Chordata, Actinopteri, Siluriformes, Siluridae. The transcript is spliced from 2 exons. The record is from RefSeq and is a predicted model, not a curated record.